Molecule: ribosomal RNA, 253 nt
Filed under: uncultured bacterium
Lineage: Bacteria
Description: partial 16S ribosomal RNA
Rfam family: Bacterial small subunit ribosomal RNA
Source: RNAcentral
UACGAAGGGGACUAGCGUUGCUCGGAAUCACUGGGCGUAAAGCGCACGUAGGCGGAUUUGUAAGUCAGGGGUGAAAUCCCGGGGCUCAACCUCGGAACUGCCUUUGAUACUGCGAAUCUUGAGUCCGAUAGAGGUGGGUGGAAUUCCUAGUGUAGAGGUGAAAUUCGUAGAUAUUAGGAAGAACACCAGUGGCGAAGGCGGCUCACUGGUCCGGUACUGACGCUGAGGUGCGAAAGCGUGGGGAGCAAACAGG